UCCGGCUUAACGCCGGCAGUCUCGCUAGAGUUCCCGGCUUUACCCGCUGGCAACUAGCGAUAAGGGUUUCGCUCGUUAAGGGACUUAACCCGACACUUCACAGCACGAGCUGACGACAGCCAUGCAGCACCUGUGCACGUUUCACCCGAAGGCAGCCUACUGAUGUUUCCACCAGAGCAUCCGUGCAUGUCAAACCCAGGUAAGGUUCUUCGCGUUGCUUCGAAUUAAUCCACAUGCUCCACCGCUUGUGUGAGCCCCCGUCAAUUCCUUUGAGUUUUAGCCUUGCGGCCGUACUCCCCAGGCGGCGCACUUAACGUUUUUAUUUCGAUACGAAAAACGUCAGUGUUCCUCGUAUCUAGUGCGCAUCGUUUACAGCGUGGACUAC
Molecule: unclassified non-coding RNA, 385 nt
Filed under: uncultured Phycisphaerae bacterium
Lineage: Bacteria; Pseudomonadati; Planctomycetota; Phycisphaerae
Description: contains 16S-23S intergenic spacer region
Source: RNAcentral